RNAcentral lists this ribosomal RNA (344 nucleotides) under Candida albicans. RNAcentral describes it as "eukaryotic LSU rRNA". It matches the Rfam family "Eukaryotic large subunit ribosomal RNA", at positions 415 to 781 of the family's 3401-position model. Lineage: Eukaryota; Fungi; Ascomycota; Pichiomycetes; Serinales; Debaryomycetaceae. The record is from RNAcentral.
GGAAGGGCUUGAGAUCAGACUUGGUAUUUUGCAUUCUGCUCUCUCGGGGCGGCCGCUGCGGUUUACCGGGCCAGCAUCGGUUUGGAGCGGCAGGAUAAUGGCGGAGGAAUGUGGCACGGCUUCUGCUGUGUGUUAUAGCCUCUGACGAUGCUGCCAGCCUAGACCGAGGACUGCGGUUUUUACCUAGGAUGUUGGCAUAAUGAUCUUAAGUCGCCCGUCUUGAAACACGGACCAAGGAGUCUAACGUCUAUGCGAGUGUUUGGGUGUAAAACCCGUACGCGUAAUGAAAGUGAACGAAGGUGGGGGCCCAUUAGGGUGCACCAUCGACCGAUCCUGAUGUGUUC